Long non-coding RNA from Patella vulgata (common limpet), 643 nucleotides. RefSeq lists it as uncharacterized. Lineage: Eukaryota; Metazoa; Mollusca; Gastropoda; Patellidae. The transcript has 3 exons. The record is from RefSeq and is a predicted model, not a curated record.
GAGCACCGAUCAGAUAUCAAGGCAAUCAACUAUUUGUGGGCUGAUAUAUAAAUGCAAUGCGCCAGUUCCAAGAUAUAUAUUUAACUUCCACUGUUGUGCCCUUCAGACGCAAUUAUUCAUAUUUUUACUCGGUUGUUGAUAAUCACCAUGAAGUCAGCUUGUGAACUUACAGACCAUUCGAUCGACAGUAUAAUGGCUCAAAGAAACACCACCACCAAGAACAAGACAUCUCAGAUUAUAGACGAUGUAACAGCUCUUAGAUUACAUUAUAGUUUUAAUGCGUAUAGUAGAUGUCCAGAUGCUAUCCAGAUAGAAUCACUAUCGCUCAAACUGAAUGUCAGCCCUUCUGCUAUAAAGACGUGGUUCCGUAAUCAAAGACAGCUCGCCCACAAAAAGAAAUCAGUCUGCAGUCAAGUUACAGGACUGAAACAGAAUGUCGUAGCGCAACAGCCACCACCACUUACUGAAGCAGACCACCCAUACUUCCAAACGAUAACCCACAGACUCCACACAGAGAAAACAUCACAACUUUCAUCUAUCAAUGAGAAGCUUGGAAUAUUACCUGUUUAUCAGCAACGACCACCACCUCUAUCUACUCUAUCUGACGUCGACAAUGCAUAUCUUCGGUCUUUAUCCAAACGAU